GACGAACGCUGGCGGCGUGCCUAAUACAUGCAAGUUGAGCGCUGAAGGUUGGUACUUGUACCAACUGGAUGAGCAGCGAACGGGUGAGUAACGCGUGGGGAAUCUGCCUUUGAGCGGGGGACAACGUUUGGAAACGAAUGCUAAUACCGCAUAAAAACUUUAAACACAAGUUUUAAGUUUGAAAGAUGCAAUUGCAUCACUCAAAGAGGAUCCCGCGUUGUAUUAGCUAGUUGGUGAGGUAAAGGCUCACCAAGGCGAAGAUACAUAGCCGACCUGAGAGGGAGAACGGCCCAAUUGGGACUGGGACACGGCCCAAACUCCUACGGGAGGCAGCCGUAGGGAAUCUUCGGACAUGGACGAAAGUCUGAACGAGCAACGCCGCGUUAGUGAAGAAGGUUUUCGGAUCGUAAAACUCUGUUGGUAGGGAAGAACGUUGGUGAGAGUGGAAAGCUCAUCAAGUGACGGUAACUACACAGAAAGGGACGGCUAACUACGUG
This 497-nucleotide ribosomal RNA is filed under the name uncultured bacterium. RNAcentral describes it as "partial 16S ribosomal RNA". It matches the Rfam family "Bacterial small subunit ribosomal RNA", at positions 28 to 507 of the family's 1533-position model. The record is from RNAcentral.